GUGAGGAAUUUUCCGCAAUGGGCGAAAGCCUGACGGAGCAAUGCCGCGUGAAGGAUGAAGGCCUAUGGGUUGUAAACUUCUUUUCUCAGAAAAGAAUUAUGACGGUAUCUGAUGAAUAAGCAUCGGCUAACUCUGUGCCAGCAGCCGCGGUAAGACAGAGGAUGCAAGCGUUAUCCGGAAUGAUUGGGCGUAAAGCGUCUGUAGGUUGUUUAAAAAGUAUUCUGUCAAAGAUUAGGGCUUAACCCUAGAUAGGCAGAAUAAACUUUUAAGCUAGAGUUUGGUAGAGGCAGAGGGAAUUCCCGGUGGAGCGGUGAAAUGCGUAGAUAUCGGGAGGAACACCAAAGGCGAAGGCACUCUGCUGGGCCAAUACUAACACUGAGAGACGAAAGCGAGGGGAGCAAAUGGGAUUAGAUACCCUAGUAGUCC
RNAcentral lists this ribosomal RNA (426 nucleotides) under uncultured bacterium. RNAcentral describes it as "partial 16S ribosomal RNA". It matches the Rfam family "Bacterial small subunit ribosomal RNA", at positions 354 to 796 of the family's 1533-position model. The record is from RNAcentral.